Molecule: long non-coding RNA, 1140 nt
Filed under: Mytilus galloprovincialis (Mediterranean mussel)
Lineage: Eukaryota; Metazoa; Mollusca; Bivalvia; Mytilida; Mytilidae
Source: RNAcentral
GGAUCCUAUUGAACGCCCUUUAGUAUAUAAAUGAUUAACAAACAACAUGGGAUCCUAUAGAACGUCUCAUAGUAGAUAAAUAAUGUUGAGAAAACAGGUGAUCCUUUAGAACGCCCUAUAGUAUAAACAUGAAAAACAAUCAACAGGGGGUCUUAUAGAACGUCCUAUAGUACAUAUAUCAUGUUGAAAAACAGAGAUUCCUGCAGAGCAUCCAAAGUUUCCGGCAGACCGCCCAAGGGAUUAUAUAGAAAGCCCUAUAGUAUAAACAUGAAAAACAAUCAACAGGGGGUCAUAUAUAACGCCAUUUAGUACAUAUAUAAUGUAAAGACAACAGGGUAUCCUUUAGACCGCCCAAGGGAUCCUUUAGAACGCCCUUUAGUAUAUACAUGAUUAACAAACAAUAGGGGAUCCUAUAGAACGUCUUAUAGUAGAUUUAUUAUGUUGAGAAAACAGGGGAUCCUGUAGACCACCCAGGGGAUCCCGUAGAAGGCCCUUUAGUAUAUAAAUGAAAAACAAACAACGGGGGAUACUUUAGAACGUAUUAUAGUAGAUAUAUAUUUUUAAACAAAUGGGGAUCCUAUAGACCGCCCAGUGGAUCCUGUAGAAAGCCCUAUAAUAUAAACAUAAAAAAACAAUCAACAGGGCAUCCUGUAGACCGCCAAGGGAAUCCAAUAGAACGCCCUUUAGUAUAUAAAUAAUAAACAAACAAUAUAGGGAUCCUAUAGAACGUCCUAUAGUAGAUAUAAAAUGUAAAGACAACAGGGGAUCCUGUAGACCGCCCAUGGUAUCCUGUAGAACGCCCUUUAGUAUAUACAUGAUAAACAAACAACAGGGGUUCCUGUAGAAUGUUCUAUAGUAAAUAUAUAAUGUUCAGACAAAAGGGGAUCCUGUAGACUGCCUAGGGGAUCCUAUUGAACGCCCGUUAGUAUAUAAAUGAUUAACAAACAACAUGGGAUCCUAUAGAACGGAACGUCUUAUAGUAGAUAAAUAAUGUUGAGAAAACAGGUGAUCCUUUAGAACGUCCUAUAGUAUAAACAUGAAAAAACAAUCAACAGGGGGUCUUAUAGAACGUAUAGUACAUAUAUCAUGUUAAAAAACAGAGAUUCCUGCAGACUACCCAAAGUUUCCCGCAGACCGCCC